This 76-nucleotide transfer RNA is filed under the name Alphaproteobacteria bacterium. Its description in RNAcentral is "tRNA-Lys". It matches the Rfam family "tRNA". Rfam says of the family: Transfer RNA (tRNA) molecules are approximately 80 nucleotides in length. RNAcentral also lists the same sequence under 1 other name. Lineage: Bacteria; Pseudomonadati; Pseudomonadota; Alphaproteobacteria. The record is from RNAcentral.
GGAUGCGUAGCUCAGUUGGUAGAGCAACUGACUCUUAAUCAGUGGGUCCAGGGUUCGAAUCCCUGCGCGUCCACCA